CCUACGGGUGGCAGCAGUGAGGAAUAUUGGUCAAUGGCCGGAAGGCUGAACCAGCCAUGCCGCGUGAAGGUCAGUGCCCUAUGGGCGUUAAACUUCUUUUGUGCGGGAGCAAUAAUGGUCACGUGUGGCCAGACGAGAGUACCGUACGAAUAAGCAUCGGCUAACCCCGUGCCAGCAGCCGCGGGUAUACGGGGGAUGCAGACGUUUACCGGGUUUAUUGGGUUUAAAGGGUGCGUAAGCUGGGAGGUAAGUCAGCGGUGAAAUGCCCCCGCUCAACGGGGUGAAGUGCCAUUGAUACUGCCAUGCUGGAAUGCGGAUGCGGUAGGAGGAAUGUGUGGUGUAGCGGUGAAAUGCAUAGAUAUCACACAGAACACCGAUUGCGAAGGCAUCUCACGAAUCCGCGAUUGACGCUGAUGCACGAAAGCGUGGGUAUCAAACAGGAUUAGAUACCCGUGUAGUC
RNAcentral lists this ribosomal RNA (460 nucleotides) under uncultured bacterium. Its description in RNAcentral is "partial 16S ribosomal RNA". It matches the Rfam family "Bacterial small subunit ribosomal RNA", at positions 338 to 795 of the family's 1533-position model. The record is from RNAcentral.